RNAcentral lists this ribosomal RNA (433 nucleotides) under uncultured bacterium. Its description in RNAcentral is "partial 16S ribosomal RNA". It matches the Rfam family "Bacterial small subunit ribosomal RNA", at positions 29 to 507 of the family's 1533-position model. The record is from RNAcentral.
AACGAACGCUGGCGGCAUGCCUAACACAUGCAAGUCGAACGAGACCUUCGGGUCUAGUGGCGCACGGGUGCGUAACGCGUGGGAACCUGCCCUUAGGUUCGGAAUAACUCCCCGAAAGGGGUGCUAAUACCGGAUAAUGUCUUCGGACCAAAGAUUUAUCGCCUUUGGAUGGGCCCGCGUUGGAUUAGCUAGUUGGUAGGGUAAAAGCCUACCAAGGCGACGAUCCAUAGCUGGUCUGAGAGGAUGAUCAGCCACACUGGGACUGAGACACGGCCCAGAAUCCUACGGGAGGCAGCAGUGGGGAAUAUUGGAAAAUGGGCGAAAGCCUGAUCCAGCAAUGCGGCGUGAGUGAUGAAGGCCUUAGGGUUGUAAAGCUCUUUUAAACGGGAUGAUAAUGACAGUACCGGGAGAAUAAGCUCCGGCUAACUCCGUG